GUGUAGAUGGAUAAAUACUAAAGACAUGAGAAUAUAGAUCUAUGAUGAUUGUAGUAUAUGACAUCUUUAUGAUACUUUUGGUUAAACUUUAUGAUUAUGUAUGAAAAGAUCUAAGGGAUUAUGACACAGAGUUUGAUUUAUGACUGGUAAUUUGUGGAUCAUGUUAUGAUUUGUCAGAUGGAUCAUAUUAUGAUUAAUCAGAUUUUGAUUUAAAAUAAUGGUGAGAGGAUUGAUAAUAAAAUUUUAUUGUGCAUUAAGAAUAUUAAUUUGAUCAUCAUUUCAUUAAAUGAAUUACAAGUUCAAAUUUGAUAUGGGAGAAUAUUGU
RNAcentral lists this long non-coding RNA (325 nucleotides) under Elaeis guineensis (African oil palm). RNAcentral's name for it is "long non-coding RNA (EGUI_LNC046947)". Lineage: Eukaryota; Viridiplantae; Streptophyta; Magnoliopsida; Arecales; Arecaceae. The record is from RNAcentral.